This 233-nucleotide non-coding RNA is filed under the name Anaerocolumna jejuensis. Its description in RNAcentral is "T-box sequence". It matches the Rfam family "T-box leader". Rfam says of the family: Uncharged tRNA acts as the effector for transcription antitermination of genes in the T-box leader family. T-boxes are found upstream of many aminoacyl-tRNA synthetase genes and some amino acid biosynthetic genes usually in Gram-positive bacteria. The record is from RNAcentral. Lineage: Bacteria; Bacillati; Bacillota; Clostridia; Lachnospirales; Lachnospiraceae.
AGAAAAGCCAUGACGGAAAAGAGUAGGCUGAGGAAAGUAUACAGAGAGAAGAACAACAGGUGGAAGUUCUUUAUAUGGAAUACAGCCGAAAACCAUUCCCAAGCUGCAGUGCUGAACGAUUGUAUUACAACCGCUAUGUCCUGCCGUAUGUCUGCGUUAAAGAAUAGGAUUUGAUAGAAUCUGAAGUAAAAAGUUAAGGUGGAACCGUGCAUUAGAUUUCAUGCACCCUUAUA